Molecule: long non-coding RNA, 467 nt
Filed under: Ananas comosus (pineapple)
Lineage: Eukaryota; Viridiplantae; Streptophyta; Magnoliopsida; Poales; Bromeliaceae
Description: long non-coding RNA (ACOM_LNC017147)
Source: RNAcentral
CAUCAUGUCAAUGUUGCAUUGCGGUGCAGGUCGUGUUGUGAUCGACUAUAAUGACAGAACCUGCUAGUAAUAAUAUCUCGUUGGAUCCAGACCACCAGCCCAAUUGAUUAAGCACAGUUAUUAUUACUAGAGUAUAUGGCCUCUUACCUUGACGUAUUCGUCAAGUCCAAAUCGAAUCACAAAAAUAAAGACUAUAAUUAUCCACCCUGAUGUCUUAAUUAGUUUCAAAUUUGAUCAUAGACAUAUGGACCAUAAUUAUUUGGUAUUUUUGAUACCAAAUGUAAUGAUCCAACUCACUGGCAGUAGUAACUAUGUUGGACCUAAACCACCAAUCCAAAAUAUUUAAGCCAAAUUACUAUUAUUAGGAUCUAUGAUAUCUUAUAUAUAUAUCCCAUCAUAAUUCAUUUUCAUCUAAUAUGAGAAUAUUGGAAUGUCACAUCAACUAUAUAUACUGGGCCCUAUAAUUG